Molecule: ribosomal RNA, 248 nt
Filed under: uncultured bacterium
Lineage: Bacteria
Description: partial 16S ribosomal RNA
Rfam family: Bacterial small subunit ribosomal RNA
Source: RNAcentral
UACGUAGGGUGCGAGCGUUGUCCGGAAUUAUUGGGCGUAAAGAGCUUGUAGGCGGUUUGUCGCGUCUGCUGUGAAAAUCCGGGGCUCAACCCCGGACUUGCAGUGGGUACGGGCAGACUAGAGUGUGGUAGGGGAGACUGGAAUUCCUGGUGAUAGCGGUGAAAUGCGCAGAUAUCAGGAGGAACACCGAUGGCGAAGGCAGGUCUCUGGGCCACUACUGACGUGAGAAAGCGGAAAGCAUGGGGAGC